RNAcentral lists this long non-coding RNA (241 nucleotides) under Physcomitrium patens. Its description in RNAcentral is "long non-coding RNA (PPAT_LNC000303)". Lineage: Eukaryota; Viridiplantae; Streptophyta; Bryopsida; Funariales; Funariaceae. The record is from RNAcentral.
AUAUUAAUAUUUGAAUACAUCUAAAAAGUUACAAAAGAUUCUAUAAAUGAAGCUAUAUCUUGAUACAUAUUCUUCUAACAAUAUCAUUCUUUCAAUUUAGCAAAAAUAGUCCAAAUUCUUCUAUGACCUGCCUUUAGAUUAUCAUGAAAUUUCAUAAGUAGUCUAUAUUGAUCUUUCUUGGUACCUACUACUCAUCGUGGCAUCCCAAUAUUUGAUUUUGGCCUCUUCCAUAUAAAUCUUC